Molecule: ribosomal RNA, 468 nt
Filed under: uncultured bacterium
Lineage: Bacteria
Description: partial 16S ribosomal RNA
Rfam family: Bacterial small subunit ribosomal RNA
Source: RNAcentral
GACGAACGCUGGCGGCGUGCUUAACACAUGCAAGUCGAACGGAAAGGCCCUGCUUUUGUGGGGUGCUCGAGUGGCGAACGGGUGAGUAACACGUGAGUAACCUGCCCUUGACUUUGGGAUAACUUCAGGAAACUGGGGCUAAUACCGGAUAGGAGCUCCUGCUGCAUGGUGGGGGUUGGAAAGUUUCGGCGGUUGGGGAUGGACUCGCGGCUUAUCAGCUUGUUGGUGGGGUAGUGGCUUACCAAGGCUUUGACGGGUAGCCGGCCUGGGAGGGUGACCGGCCACAUUGGGCCUGGGCUACGGCCCAGCCUCCUCCGGGAGGCAGCAGUGCGGAAUAUUGCACUAUGGGCGGAAGCCUGAUGCAGCAACGCCGCGUGCGGGAUGACGGCCUUCGGGUUGUAUACCGCUUUCGCCUGUGACGAAGCGUGAGUGACGGUAAUGGGUAAAGAAGCACCGGCUAACUACGUG